This 152-nucleotide ribosomal RNA is filed under the name Burkholderia pyrrocinia. The record is from RNAcentral. Lineage: Bacteria; Pseudomonadati; Pseudomonadota; Betaproteobacteria; Burkholderiales; Burkholderiaceae.
GAUUGGUCGUAACGCGAAGCGUUGCGACAACCCUCUUUGCCUGAUGACCAUAGCGAGUCGGUCCCACCCCUUCCCAUCCCGAACAGGACCGUGAAACGACUCUACGCCGAUGAUAGUGCGGAUUCCCGUGUGAAAGUAGGUAAUCGUCAGGC